This 254-nucleotide ribosomal RNA is filed under the name uncultured bacterium. RNAcentral's name for it is "partial 16S ribosomal RNA". It matches the Rfam family "Bacterial small subunit ribosomal RNA", at positions 524 to 776 of the family's 1533-position model. The record is from RNAcentral.
UACGUAGGGGGGCUAGCGUUGUCCGGAUUUAUUGGGCGUAAAGAGCGUGUAGGCGGCCAGGUAGGUCUGGUGUGAAAACUCGAGGCUUAACCUCGAGACGUCAUCGGAAACCAUCUGGCUAGAGUCCGGAAGAGGAGAGUGGAAUUCCUGGUGUAGCGGUGAAAUGCGCAGAUAUCAGGAAGAACACCAAUGGCGAAAGCAGCUCUCUGGGACGGUACUGACGCUGAGACGCGAAAGCGUGGGGAGCGAACAGG